RNAcentral lists this ribosomal RNA (446 nucleotides) under uncultured bacterium. Its description in RNAcentral is "partial 16S ribosomal RNA". It matches the Rfam family "Bacterial small subunit ribosomal RNA", at positions 338 to 795 of the family's 1533-position model. The record is from RNAcentral.
CCUACGGGUGGCAGCAGUCGAGAAUCAUUCACAAUGGGGGAAACCCUGAUGGUGCGACGCCGCGUGGGGGAAUGAAGGUCUUCGGAUUGUAAACCCCUGUCAUGUGGGAGCAAAUUAAAAAGAUAGUACCACAAGAGGAAGAGACGGCUAACUCUGUGCCAGCAGCCGCGGUAAUACAGAGGUCUCAAGCGUUGUUCGGAAUCACUGGGCGUAAAGCGUGCGUAGGCUGUUUCGUAAGUCGUGUGUGAAAGGCGCGGGCUCAACCCGCGGACGGCACAUGAUACUGCGAGACGAGAGGAAUGGAGGGGGAACCGGAAUUCUCGGUGUAGCAGUGAAAUGCGUAGAUAUCGAGAGGAACACUCGUGGCGAAGGCGGGUUCCUGGACAUUAACUGACGCUGAGGCACGAAGGCCAGGGGAGCGAAAGGGAUUAGAUACCCCAGUAGUC